GAUUAACGCUGGCGGCGUGCCUAACACAUGCAAGUCGAGCGGCAGCGAGUUUUACACUGACUUCUGGAAGCUUCUAGUUGAAAGAGAAGAUUUAUUCAAGAAUUUUGUGUAAAAUGUCGGCGAGCGGCGGACGGCUGAGUAACGCGUGGGAACGUACCCCAAAGUGAGGGAUAACGCAUCGAAAGGUGUGCUAAUACCGCAUAUGGUCUUCGGAUUAAAGCCUUCGGGCGCUUUGGGAACGGCCUGCGUAAGAUUAGAUAGUUGGUGGGGUAAUGGCCUACCAAGUCGACGAUCUGUAACUGGUUUGAGAGGAUGAUCAGUCAGACUGGAACUGAGACACGGUCCAGAAUCCUACGGGAGGCAGCAGUGAGGAAUCUUCCACAAUGGGCGAAAGCCUGAUGGAGCAACGCCGCGUGCAGGAUGAAGGCCUUCGGGUUGUAAACUGCUUUUAUAAGUGAGGAUUAUGACAGUAACUUAUGAAUAAGGAUCGGCUAACUACGUG
This 502-nucleotide ribosomal RNA is filed under the name uncultured bacterium. RNAcentral's name for it is "partial 16S ribosomal RNA". It matches the Rfam family "Bacterial small subunit ribosomal RNA", at positions 28 to 507 of the family's 1533-position model. The record is from RNAcentral.